CCGGGAUGGCCCUGUAGGCAGCUACAUCUGUCCAAGACACCGUUCUGUGGGGGAGCUAUUGGAAGUAGUGAAAAAGAGUAAGGUUCUUGAGUGACAUGAGGUCAGAUGUGGAAAGUCCUCAGGGAUACUUCUUGGGAAGUCUGAAAUCAUAUGAUGGCACAAGAGAUAUCUCACUGCAUGGGAUGAAGUGAAGUUACCCUUACUGCAAGCAUAAUUUGACAUAUUGAAUGUGCUAUCUUGACAGCUGCCACUAUCAAUAAUUAAAUAAUAUGAUUACCAACUUCUCAAGUUACAUUGCACAACACUGCUUACUCUACAACCUUUUAGGUCUGAAGAUAAAAGCUUUGGCUUCAGCUAGAACCCACUUACCUUGGAACUGGGACUUGAGAUAAAUUCGCUAGCGCAUUGCAAAACUUCAGGAUUCCUCCUGGGAUACAUCCUGGGACGACUCCUGCAACCAACACAGUGAAAAGAAGAGAAUGUUGAUGAAAAAGUAAAGUAAAUUAAAGUCGUUCCAGAAAUAUUUGUACUGUGGAUUUCAGGAAGCCAUGAAGGAUUGGUGCUAAAAACCACUGAAAGAAUAACUAUUCAUUUGAAGCUAUGCAAAAAAAGAAUUUGAAAAUGUUCAGGUACAGUGAGUUAUACUAAAACCUCAGUAAAUGUUGCUUCAAAAUGUCACUGCAGCAUGUCGCUUUUGAGGCAGUGGACAGUAGCAGAUCCUGACGACCCAUGGAGUAUUAGAUAUUGAAUUUUUAAUGAUGCUCAGUGUAUUAUUCUGUUCUUAUUAUUCACUCAGCAUCUAUAAUAUCAGUACAGACCUUGAUAUAUCAGUACAUUCUUGUUUUUCUACUCAACACUUCCUACCUUAGAAAUUUUCUGUCACAGAGUAAUUUACCUAACAUUACAUGAACUAUUUUUACUUAGGCAAACCCAUUCAACAAGAAAUACAUGUUUUGUAAAUCUUAAUGUUGGUCUAUUUAUCUCAGACUGAAUAUUACUUUGGAAAUAGUGUGGCUUUAUUCAUAAUAAAAACAUAAGAACCCCAUGCUUGUGCUUUGGCUUUAUGACUUGGAUAUCUUGCAGCAGAUGGCUGCAGAUGCUAGUAUUUGGACAGCUGAAUUAUGAAGUGAUGAUAUUUUUUUGCCACUUAAUCUGUCUCUCUGUCACCCUCUUUCUCUCCCUCUUUC
Molecule: long non-coding RNA, 1187 nt
Organism: Lepidothrix coronata (blue-crowned manakin)
Lineage: Eukaryota; Metazoa; Chordata; Aves; Passeriformes; Pipridae
Exons: 4
Source: RefSeq, a predicted model, not a curated record